AGAGUUUGAUCAUGGCUCAGAACGAACGCUGGCGGCAUGCCUAACACAUGCAAGUCGAACGAUGCCUUCGGGCAUAGUGGCGCACGGGUGCGUAACGCGUGGGAAUCUGCCCUUGGGUUCGGAAUAACUCAGAGAAAUUUGAGCUAAUACCAGAUGAUGACGUAAGUCCAAAGAUUUAUCGCCAAGGAUGAGCCCGCGUAAGAUUAGCUAGUUGGUGGGGUAAAGGCCUACCAAGGCGACGAUCUUUAGCUGGUCUGAGAGGAUGAUCAGCCACACUGGGACUGAGACACGGCCCAGACUCCUACGGGAGGCAGCAGUGGGGAAUAUUGGACAAUGGGCGAAAGCCUGAUCCAGCAAUGCCGCGUGAGUGAUGAAGGCCUUAGGGUUGUAAAGCUCUUUUACCAGGGAUGAUAAUGACAGUACCUGGAGAAUAAGCUCCGGCUAACUCCGUG
This 452-nucleotide ribosomal RNA is filed under the name uncultured bacterium. RNAcentral's name for it is "bacterial SSU rRNA". It matches the Rfam family "Bacterial small subunit ribosomal RNA", at positions 8 to 507 of the family's 1533-position model. The record is from RNAcentral.